RNAcentral lists this ribosomal RNA (433 nucleotides) under uncultured bacterium. RNAcentral's name for it is "partial 16S ribosomal RNA". It matches the Rfam family "Bacterial small subunit ribosomal RNA", at positions 29 to 507 of the family's 1533-position model. The record is from RNAcentral.
AACGAACGCUGGCGGCAUGCCUAACACAUGCAAGUCGAACGAGACCUUCGGGUCUAGUGGCGCACGGGUGCGUAACGCGUGGGAACCUGCCCUUAGGUUCGGAAUAACUCCCCGAAAGGGGUGCUAAUACCGGAUAAUGUCUUCGGACCAAAGAUUUAUCGCCUUUGGAUGGGCCCGCGUUGGAUUAGCUAGUUGGUAGGGUAAAAGCCUACCAAGGCGACGAUCCAUAGCUGGUCUGAGAGGAUGAUCAGCCACACUGGGACUGAGACACGACCCAGACUCCUACGGGAGGCAGCAGUGGAGAAUAUUGGACAAUGGGCGAAAGCCUGAUCCAGCAAUGCCGCGUGAGUGAUGAAGGCCUUAGGGUUGUAAAGCUCUUUUACCCGGGAUGAUAAUGACAGUACCGGGAGAAUAAGCUCCGGCUAACUCCGUG